UGGUGGGGUAAGAUCCUACCAAGGCGACGACGGUUAGCCGGCGUGAGAGCGUGGCCGGCCACAAGGACACUGAGAUACGGGUCCUACUCCUACGGGAGGCAGCAGUGCGGAAUUUUAGAUAAUGGAGGCAACUCUGAUCUAGCGACGCCGCGUGCAGGAAGAAGGUCUUCGGAUUGUAAACUGCUGUGGUAAGGGAAAAAUGUCAUGUAGAGUGGAAAGCUACAUGGAGGGAUGGUACCUUACUAGAAAGCCCCGGCUAACUACGUGCCAGCAGCCGCGGUAAUACGUAGGGGGCGAGCGUUACCCGGAAUCACUGGGCGUAAAGGGAGCGUAGGUGGCCUGACAUGUCAACUGUGAAAACCCGGAGCUCAACUCCGGACUUGCAGUUGAAACUGCCAGGCUUGAGGACGGUAGAGGAAGACGGAACUGCCAGUGUAGGGGUAAAAUCCUUAGAUAUUGGCAGGAACGCCGGUGACGAAGGUGGUUUUCUGGGCCGGUUCUGACACUGAUGCUCGAAAGCCAGGGGAGCGAACGGGAUUAGAU
RNAcentral lists this ribosomal RNA (543 nucleotides) under uncultured microorganism. Its description in RNAcentral is "bacterial SSU rRNA". It matches the Rfam family "Bacterial small subunit ribosomal RNA", at positions 250 to 783 of the family's 1533-position model. The record is from RNAcentral.